ACCCCUCUCCCCCACAGGUGGAUCAUGAAGAAUUCAUGCCUGAAGAGCACUUUGUUCGUGUAGGUAGAAGUCAUAAUGUCCAACCUGGCUUCCAAAGCUCCUCACCUAAUUUCCGCUCUUUGGUGGAGUCUCAGCAGCUCCUGCAGAGUGCAAAAGUCUUGUAAAGGGAAUGGAGAAUUGCACCCAGCGAGACGGCUCUAUCUGAUCCUAUUCCUCCCCAUCAGUCUGCCUACAAGCUUUCUCACACUCGUGUGAAAUGAUCUACCUGUGCUAUUAGAUUUCAUAUGCGGAUUUUAUUUUUCUCAAAAGACUGCAUUAAUUGGAACGAGCAAGUCGCAUGCCUAGUCGCAUAAGGAAAGAAAAGGAAGAUGUCACUAUACUGCAAAACCUCACCUGCCUUUUUUUGAUGAAUAUGGUCUGAACUUUAACUGAGUUAAACAAAUAUUAUUCAAGCUUCAAAAUGUUUAUGUAUACCUAGACAAUCUUAUCAGAUAAUGUUUUCAGAUAAACAAGAGCUUGGCUUGGUGCAUCGUGGAAA
Phalacrocorax carbo (great cormorant) is the source of this 538-nucleotide non-coding RNA. Lineage: Eukaryota; Metazoa; Chordata; Aves; Suliformes; Phalacrocoracidae. The record is from RefSeq and is a predicted model, not a curated record.